UGACGAACAUUUAAAGGUAGUCUUAGAGAGAUGACUAAAUUAAUUUAGAUUCUAAUCUAACUUAUUAAAAUUAGAGCACACGUUUGAGAAUGUAACAAAACCAGAUACAAUACUAAGGAAAUAUGCAUCGAAGUCACAAUUUUCUAGUUGAAAUACUGACGGUCUAUAAGUUUUGACUGUUCCUUUGAAUUAGGUCUAGAUACAGUAAAGAACAUUGACAGGUAGUCUUAUUAUGGAAUCUAUCCACGAAAAAGGAGAUUUGAGGCAUACAUCAGACUGUCAGCAUUAUCAAUCAUGAAAAUAGAAACUAAUACAAAGCUAACUGGGUAAGAGAGAGGGAGGGAGGGCGACUAAGAGAGAGGAAUAUCACUCUGCAUGAUGAGUAUUACUAUACAAGGAACAACCGCUUGUCAAUGAAAUUCAAAAGUUGCUUUAAACAAAUAAGGUUAGUGGUCAAUUUUCAUGAUCCCUAUUACUGGGUCCAUUAGCGCAAAUUAGAAUUGAUUCAUCAAUAGACGAUAUACUUCACUACUACAAAAGCGCCUAUUAAUAACGGUUAAUACAAAUUGCCGUUUUUAAUAAAGCCUAAUGGAAACACACGAUCAUUUUCCUUCUAUUAGAAACGGUUAGCUGAAAAAUAAAGGAAAAAUAGGCCCAUUGGUAAAUGAAAAUUUUGGGGGGAAGUUAAAUUUCAUUGUGGCGCCUGGUUAAAAAGGGGUAGGGAAAAUUUUGGGGGAAGCUAAAUUUCAUUUUGGGAUCAUGGUGAAAGGAUCAGAAAACUUUUCCAACGAUCCAUUCCUUUCUCUAUCUUAACUUUAUAGCAGAUCUCUUCCUCGUCCAGCGAAACGAUAAUCAACCAGGCAUCAGUGACUUCUAAAUGCUUGAUUGGAGUUCCAGAAUGCACCCUAGCCUCCACCGGCACCAUAAAUACCCUCGAUUGCUUCAGGAAAACCUUCAUCGUCCUCCUCAAUUCGUUCUCUUUACCAAAUUGGAAACGCCAUCGACACGGCCGAGCGAGUCGAUAGAGAAGCCGAGCGCGGGGGUUGCCCUUUGGUUGAUGUUCUCUCCGUGGACACCUUUGCUCCUGCAUGACAUGAUAUGGAUGAAGGUUGCAAGGUGAUAGAUGGUGAAGGGGAGAUUAGUUUGGUGCGAUGCAGUGGGAAGAACCCAGAGAUACGACGAAGGAAAGGCUUGCAACAUUGAUAAGACAUGGGCUCACUGUGGUCUUUAUUGUUUAAGUCUACUUAAUCAUUGUUUAUUUCUUUUUUGUUGUAAGUCUUUUGGGUAGGUUUUGAUUUAUUAGAUUUGCAUUUCAAAUUUAGAGUUCUAGAGUGUGAAGGAGUCAGGAACCAUGUAAAUAUAUGGUCUAAAGAAGUACAUGCUUUGUAAUUAGCAUAUUGUUGGAUUUGUUAAUAAAACAUGUAUCAAACACUUGUUAUUUGUUUAAUCGAAUCGCAUUUAAUUUUA
Long non-coding RNA from Asparagus officinalis (garden asparagus), 1467 nucleotides. RefSeq lists it as uncharacterized. Lineage: Eukaryota; Viridiplantae; Streptophyta; Magnoliopsida; Asparagales; Asparagaceae. The transcript has 4 exons. The record is from RefSeq and is a predicted model, not a curated record.